RNAcentral lists this long non-coding RNA (673 nucleotides) under Fukomys damarensis (Damara mole-rat). RNAcentral describes it as "lncRNA (ENSFDAG00000030855.1)". Lineage: Eukaryota; Metazoa; Chordata; Mammalia; Rodentia; Bathyergidae. The record is from RNAcentral.
GGGGGAGGACUGGGGGCCCCAGCAGGAAGUGAGCAGGCGUGCCCGGCUGCAGGGUGGCAGAAGUCCUGGCUCCUGACCCAGUCCUCCCCGACCCUCCAUGUGCACUGGCAGUGGGGUUCACCCACUCCACCCCUUGGCCACGAGCUCUGAGGACAGCAGCUGGUCAGGCCAUGCUGACCUGGACCUUGGGCCCCAGGUAGGCCUGGCCACUGUGCAAGCAGGAGACGGGGCUCAGAGUGACAGCACACGGCCCACCCUCCUCAUGCCUUGGGUCCCAUCCGUGAGCAGACAACUCUGGAAGCAGUGCUCCGAGGGUCCCUCAGCUCUGGAAGCUCCAGGUCCUGCCAGAUGAGAGCCAGAGCCUGAGGGAGGGAGAGGCGGCCAUGUUUGCACCCGGAACGCCCCGUUACCAUCACCCUGGCAGAAGGGCCUGGGCAGAGGCAGCUGGCUUGCUCCACGCGGAUGUUCCUGUGACUUAAACUACCGAGGUUGCGGCAGCACUUUGGAAAUGUGAAAGAAAAAAGAAAAACAUGUACAACACACACAAGAUGAUAAAAAUCACCAGGAGUCCCUCUGGGCAGGGCAGCUGUGGGUUCUGAGGCAGACCUUCCCAGGCUGCCUUUCCCGGCUCAUUUAUUUUGUGUCUCCCUCAGUCAUUCCCAAGCAAUCACCC